This 1812-nucleotide long non-coding RNA is filed under the name Bemisia tabaci. Its description in RNAcentral is "lncRNA ENSSSA1NGG006850". Lineage: Eukaryota; Metazoa; Arthropoda; Insecta; Hemiptera; Aleyrodidae. The record is from RNAcentral.
GGGAAACUAAUGGCACUCACGUUGUUUUUAAACCGGGCCGGAAUUUAUAGUUCCCAAUUGCAAAAUGCAGUCCAUUUAUACGAUAAGAAAAAUACGUCCGACGUCAAAUUCAGAUGAAAAAUGCAUUCUUCGCACAAGUAUGAUGAUCAUAAUCAAUAAUUAUAAUCAAGAUUAAUAAAUAAUCGAUUUUCACCAACCCUAUCAACGGCGAAAUUUGCAUUUUUUCCCCUCAACUUGGCAAAUACGCGAAAAAUGUGGAGUCUGCCGAAUCAUACGUCACUGGCUCGCGGUUGCCUUGCCGUUCGAAAUGAUCGCGGUACUCUAUGCUGAGCGAAUGGAAUUUCGUAUGUUUUUUCACACGAUGUGGCAGCUCUGAAUUCUAACCUACGAUUCUCGCAUCGUCGCAAUGUUUGUUUACAAGAGUAGCUACAGUUUGAUACAGUUGCAUCAUGUGAAUAUUUUCUUAAACCAAAGGAAUUUCUUCGUGAAUUGAUGGAAAUGAGUGCUAACUAUGUGAUAUUGGGAUUGAGAUUCAGUUCGUAUUAUUUUUCGACGCCGAUCGGUCUUGUGGCACGCAGGAAAAUAGCCCUGUUGCUAAGUGAAGUGUCAGUUCCAGUGAUGGUGCAGAUUUUGUGAUAAUCGCCAGCUGAUCAUUAAGUAUGUGCCUGGAACCUGGAGUUUUUCUGCUCACUGUGGAAGCAAGUGAAAACUACUGCUUUGACUUGGAAUUUUCUGGAGGAAAAGGAAAAGGUACAGAUAAUAUUUAUUUCUUGGCAUGCUGAAAGAGAUAGGGAAAUUUGUGAUGGGAAUUUUGGACCGUGACUUUCUUUCAAAGCUCCAUCAACUGACAUGAUCAGUGAAUACCUUUAUGAAAGAUGUUGCACUCUAGUACCUAAUUGUGUGAAGAGAGGGAAGUAAGCCCUGGGUCACUUGAUUUUAAAGGAGAGCCCACAUUUACUCAUUGAAAACAAGAUUGUUAGAGCUUUUAAUUUGAGUUAUUAUCCAAUUUUCUCCCCACAAUGGAAAACCCAUGAUCGAUUUGGAAGCAGGAACUAGCUAAAAAUCAAGUUUCUUAUUUUUUACUCAGGAGACUCAUUUCAGACUUACAAGGCUGGAAUGAUGUUAUUUAUACAAUUGAAUAAUUCUGUUUAUUCUUCUUUUGGAGAUCAUUUGUUGACUCACGGAUCCACAUUCUUAUGAAGGCAUCAUGUUCAUUUUAAGAUGAGCCCUGGGCUCCGUAUGAACACAUUUAUUUCAAGACUCAUCAGAAAUUUUAACUUCCUUCCUCUGUUAAAAUAUGGAUUAAUGAGUGGACAAAUACUGUCAAAAGAGAAUUAAAUAGGACUUUUAAAAAUAUAUAAAAAAAAAAAAAAAAAAAAUCAGCCCAAGUGACAUGUCCAUUUUCAGAUGAGCCCUGGAUUCCAUAAGAUGGCAUGCAUCUCACGGCUCAUCAGAUUUUUGACAUAAGUAUAUUACAUAUAUUCAUGGCUUAGAAGUUUAUUUUCUUGACUUCUGGCUGUGUUAAAAGCAGAAAUGAGACCAGCUUUAGGAUGAAAUCCUUGGAUUAACAUGAUUCUAGUACCACAUUAAUUUUUAGAGCAAUUUUGACUCAAUUUUUUAAUAAAUUCCUCUUCUUUGAGAAAGAAAUUUGAUUUUUAAGCUGAACUCCUACUUCCUUUGACCUGGAACUGCCCACUGUGUGCAGGGGCAGUGUAAUUAGUGAGCUGCAUGGGGUUGCUGGCCCUUGCUUGAGGUCAUUAGGGCUUGCGGGAGGUCUGCGGGGAGUCCGCGGGAGGUUCCUGGGUUUGGCGG